GACAGAGGUGCCAAGCGUUAGGCGGAAUCACUGGGCUUAAAGCGUGUGUAGGCGGAUCGUUAAGUACCUUGUGAAAUCCCACGGCUCAACCGUGGAACUGCUUGGUAUACUGGCGAUCUUGAGCCACCUAGGGGCAACUGGAACAAGCGGUGGAGCGGUGAAAUGCGUAGAUAUCGCUUGGAACGCCGACGGUGAAAACAGCUCGCUGGGGGUGUGCCGACGCUGAGACACGAAAGCCAGGGGAGCGAACGGG
RNAcentral lists this ribosomal RNA (253 nucleotides) under uncultured bacterium. RNAcentral describes it as "partial 16S ribosomal RNA". It matches the Rfam family "Bacterial small subunit ribosomal RNA", at positions 524 to 776 of the family's 1533-position model. The record is from RNAcentral.